Molecule: ribosomal RNA, 437 nt
Filed under: uncultured Ethanoligenens sp.
Lineage: Bacteria; Bacillati; Bacillota; Clostridia; Eubacteriales; Oscillospiraceae
Description: partial 16S ribosomal RNA
Rfam family: Bacterial small subunit ribosomal RNA
Source: RNAcentral
ACGGGAGGCAGCAGUGGGGGAUAUUGCACAAUGGAGGAAACUCUGAUGCAGCAACGCCGCGUGAGGGAAGAAGGUCUUCGGAUUGUAAACCUUUGUUUUUAGUGAAGAAAUAAAUGACGGUAGCUAAAGAGGAAGCCACGGCUAACUACGUGCCAGCAGCCGCGGUAAUACGUAGGUGGCAAGCGUUGUCCGGAUUUACUGGGUGUAAAGGGUGCGCAGGCGGGACUGCAAGUUGGAUGUGAAAUACCGAGGCUUAACCACGGAGCUGCAUCCAAAACUGUGGUUCUUGAGUGGAGUAGAGGUAAGCGGAAUUCCGAGUGUAGCGGUGAAAUGCGUAGAUAUUCGGAGGAACACCAGUGGCGAAGGCGGCUUACUGGGCUCUAACUGACGCUGAGGCACGAGAGCAUGGGGAGCAAACAGGAUUAGAUACCCUGGUA